RNAcentral lists this ribosomal RNA (922 nucleotides) under uncultured bacterium. RNAcentral describes it as "bacterial SSU rRNA". It matches the Rfam family "Bacterial small subunit ribosomal RNA", at positions 56 to 993 of the family's 1533-position model. The record is from RNAcentral.
UGCAAGUCGAGCGCGCCCUUCGGGGUGAGCGGCGGACGGGUUAGUAACGCGUGGGAACGUGCCCUUCUCUAAGGAAUAGCCACUGGAAACGGUGAGUAAUACCUUAUACGCCCCCCAAUCAAAUUCCAUUUGGUUGACGGAGAUUCUGUUGAAUGCCGGAUGGCAUUUGAUGGGGGGGAAAGAUUUAUCGGAGAAGGAUCGGCCCGCGUUAGAUUAGAUAGUUGGUGGGGUAAUGGCCUACCAAGUCUACGAUCUAUAGCUGGUUUUAGAGGAUGAUCAGCAACACUGGGACUGAGACACGGCCCAGACUCCUACGGGAGGCAGCAGUAGGGAAUCUUGGACAAUGGGCGCAAGCCUGAUCCAGCCAUGCCGCGUGAGUGAAGAAGGCCUUAGGGUCGUAAAGCUCUUUCGCCUGUGAUGAUAAUGACAGUAGCAGGUAAAGAAACCCCGGCUAACUCCGUGCCAGCAGCCGCGGUAAUACGGAGGGGGUUAGCGUUGUUCGGAAUUACUGGGCGUAAAGCGCGCGUAGGCGGAUUGGAAAGUUAGAGGUGAAAUCCCGGGGCUCAACCCCGGAACGGCCUUUAAAACUCCCAGUCUAGAGUUCGAGAGAGGUGAGUGGAAUUCCAAGUGUAGAGGUGAAAUUCGUAGAUAUUUGGAGGAACACCAGUGGCGAAGGCGGCUCACUGGCUCGAUACUGACGCUGAGGUGCGAAAGUGUGGGGAGCAAACAGGAUUAGAUACCCUGGUAGUCCACACCGUAAACGAUGAAUGCCAGUCGUCGGGUAGUAUACUAUUCGGUGACACACCUAACGGAUUAAGCAUUCCGCCUGGGGAGUACGUCGCAGAUAAACUCAAGAUGACGGGGCCGCACAAGCGUGAGCAUGUGGUAUCGAGCACGCGCAGACUACACCUGACAUCUGUGG